CUGGCCUGGGCACGGACAGUCGGCUGGAGCCCAGCUUGUCCCAGGGCCCGGCGGAGGACACGCGGCCGUGCCACGCACAGCCCGCCCAGCCCUGCCUCACGUGUUAGGGUCUGCGGGGUUCCAGCGUGUCGUGGAAGCUGGCAGGAGGACCAGCCCGAGGAUGACGGAGGGACCAGGACCCCCCAGCGUGGACUGGCCGGGAAGGCACUCCCGGACGCUUGCCCUGCGUUGACCGCCCAGCAUCCCGAUGCCAGGCCUGGGCACCUCCCAUCCACUCGCUCGCCCCGACCCCUAGUCCCCUCCCACUUGGUAGCAGCUCCAACUGGGGACAGCCUGCUUCUUGUUAACUCGAGUUGCUCAACUGCUCGACCUCACUGGUUUUGCACUGAAGUUUGAGGGUAGAGACCCAUCACCAUCUCCUAUGGCUACAGAUCCGUUGACGUGCGUGAAAAUUCAGCGUUUGCUGAUCCAGGACCCAUCGCCACACAGAAGGCUCCAGGGCAGAGAAUCCUUGUACAAGUAGGAGAGAAGGGCCAUAUGGCGUUAUGUAUAAAGCGACGAUUAUUUUAUGGACCAAGUUUUAAUGUAACUGUUGCAGUGAAAGUGCAAUAUCUAAUCCCUUGCUCCCAGCGGGAAUCGCUUGGCCCGACAAUCACAGCCCCGACGAGGGGCCCCAUGGCCAGUGCCGCCUCCUGUCGGUGCCACCUCACCCCAUCUCGCCCGUCGCCUGGUGAGCAGCCAUCCGGAGGAGCACCGGAAGAGUCUCGGCCCGCCUGCAAUAAAGGCCGGGAGGCCGCCUGGCCGCGGGAGGCCGGGCAGGCAGUGGGCUCGGCCUCUCCCAGCGGGCAGCUCCCCCACGGCCCCGAGCUCCCCGCCUGCCUGCCCAGCCGCCAGCCAUGCCAAGGACAACAGCAAUAGUCCCCGGGCCUCUCCCAGCGGCCCACAGCCAUAGAUGGUGAGGUGGGCAGCCCAGCCUCCCUGUUGACGUCUCUCUUCUCUAUCCAGGGCUGCUUCCUGGCCUCCCUGAAGGUUCCUUUCGCCACAUUAUCCUCUUAAGGAAGCACCAGUUUUUCAGAAACUAAGAGAGGGAGGACAGAGUCCUUUAAAAAUACCAAAAAUGUUUACAGCAUUGGGUGCUGAGCUGCAGGGCUCAGGCCCGACCAGUCGUAACCAAAGGGUGAAGCAGGCCUUGCUGACUGCCACCCCACCCCAGGCCUGUUAGAGUAGAAGCCUUAGCCCCACUCCCACCCCCAAGCCCCCAGGACUGAGCCUCAGCCCGCCGCCCCCAUAUCCCCCCACCUGCCUUCUCUUUGAUUUCUAAAGAGGGAUUCAGCAGAGACCCCACGCCCCCUUCCUAGCUCAGCCUGAGCUGCCUGCCCGCCCGCCCACCCGCCACGUCGCAGUCUUCGCGUCUCAGCCCCCCGUCUGUCUCUCUGGACCGAGUGUGAGUGGUGUCCUGACUUGCCCCCGCCAGCCCUUGCUGUCCCUGCUCCAUCAGGCCUGAGUGUGCUCUGUGUACUGUGUCGUUGUCUGUUACACCAAUUAAAGAAGCAGGAAGGCUU
This is a non-coding RNA of Kogia breviceps (pygmy sperm whale), 1562 nucleotides long. The record is from RefSeq and is a predicted model, not a curated record. Lineage: Eukaryota; Metazoa; Chordata; Mammalia; Artiodactyla; Physeteridae.